CAGGCUUAACACAUGCAAGUCGAGGGGCAGCAUGGUCUUAGCUUGCUAAGGCCGAUGGCGACCGGCGCACGGGUGAGUAACACGUAUCCAACCUGCCGUCUACUCUUGGACAGCCUUCUGAAAGGAAGAUUAAUACAAGAUGGCAUCAUGAGUCCACAUGUUCACAUGAUUAAAGGUAUUCCGGUAGACGAUGGGGAUGCGUUCCAUUAGAUAGUAGGCGGGGUAACGGCCCACCUAGUCUUCGAUGGAUAGGGGUUCUGAGAGGAAGGUCCCCCACAUUGGAACUGAGACACGGUCCAAACUCCUACGGGAGGCAGCAGUGAGGAAUAUUGGUCAAUGGGCGAGAGCCUGAACCAGCCAAGUAGCGUGAAGGAUGACUGCCCUAUGGGUUGUAAACUUCUUUUAUAAAGGAAUAAAGUCGGGUAUGCAUACCCGUUUGCAUGUACUUUAUGAAUAAGGAUCGGCUAACUCCGUGCCAGCAGCCGCGGUAAUACGGAGGAUCCGAGCGUUAUCCGGAUUUAUUGGGUUUAAAGGGAGCGUAGAUGGAUGUUUAAGUCAGUUGUGAAAGUUUGCGGCUCAACCGUAAAAUUGCAGUUGAUACUGGAUAUCUUGAGUGCAGUUGAGGCAGGCGGAAUUCGCGGUGUAGCGGUGAAAUGCUUAGAUAUCACGAAGAACUCCGAUUGCGAAGGCAGCCUGCUAAGCUGCAACUGACAUUGAGGCUCGAAAGUGUGGGUAUCAAACAGGAUUAGAUACCCUGGUAGUCCACACGGUAAACGAUGAAUACUCGCUGUUUGCGAUAUACAGCAAGCGGCCAAGCGAAAGCGUUAAGUAUUCCACCUGGGGAGUACGCCGGCAACGGUGAAACUCAAAGGAAUUGACGGGGGCCCGCACAAGCGGAGGAACAUGUGGUUUAAUUCGAUGAUACGCGAGGAACCUUACCCGGGCUUAAAUUGCAGAUGAAUUACGGUGAAAGCCGUAAGCCGCAAGGCAUCUGUGAAGGUGCUGCAUGGUUGUCGUCAGCUCGUGCCGUGAGGUGUCGGCUUAAGUGCCAUAACGAGCGCAACCCUUGUUGUCAGUUACUAACAGGUCAUGCUGAGGACUCUGACAAGACUGCCAUCGUAAGAUGUGAGGAAGGUGGGGAUGACGUCAAAUCAGCACGGCCCUUACGUCCGGGGCUACACACGUGUUACAAUGGGGGGUACAGAGGGCCGCUACCACGCGAGUGGAUGCCAAUCCCAAAAACCUCUCUCAGUUCGGACUAGAGUCUGCAACCCGACUCCACGAAGCUGGAUUCGCUAGUAAUCGCGCAUCAGCCACGGCGCGGUGAAUACGUUCCCGGGCCUUGUACACACCGCCCGUCAAGCCAUGGGAGCCGGGGGUACCUGAAGUGCGUAACCGCGAGGAGCGCCCUAGGGUAAAACUGGUGACUGGGGCUAAGUCGUA
RNAcentral lists this ribosomal RNA (1443 nucleotides) under uncultured organism. RNAcentral's name for it is "16S ribosomal RNA". It matches the Rfam family "Bacterial small subunit ribosomal RNA". The record is from RNAcentral.